UACAGAGGGGGCAAGCGUUAUUCGGAAUUAUUAGGCGUAAAGAGCUCGUAGGCGGUUUGUCGCGUCUGCCGUGAAAGUCCGGGGCUCAACUCCGGAUCUGCGGUGGGUACGGGCAGACUAGAGUGUGGUAGGGGAGACUGGAAUUCCUGGUGUAGCGGUGAAAUGCGCAGAUAUCAGGAGGAACACCGAUGGCGAAGGCAGGUCUCUGGGCCACUACUGACGCUGAGAAGCGAAAGCAUGGGGAGCGAACAGG
RNAcentral lists this ribosomal RNA (253 nucleotides) under uncultured bacterium. RNAcentral describes it as "partial 16S ribosomal RNA". It matches the Rfam family "Bacterial small subunit ribosomal RNA", at positions 524 to 776 of the family's 1533-position model. The record is from RNAcentral.